AUCUGAUGAUGUGGACAUUUACAAAGAAGGUCCCUAAAAAGCUCCCAGGUCUCAAAGAAAAGCUCCCCAUCUGUUUGUGUGAAACUUGUUAUUGCCCUUCAUAGCU
Malania oleifera is the source of this 106-nucleotide small nucleolar RNA. The record is from RefSeq and is a predicted model, not a curated record. Lineage: Eukaryota; Viridiplantae; Streptophyta; Magnoliopsida; Santalales; Ximeniaceae.